UAAAGUUAAGGGCAAACCUUCGGAAACGUUGGGACGCAAAGCCAUGACCUAAGGCAUUUUAUGCUAUGGUUGACAGGUUGCCGAG
This 85-nucleotide non-coding RNA is filed under the name Tepidibacillus decaturensis. RNAcentral's name for it is "c-di-GMP-I riboswitch aptamer". It matches the Rfam family "c-di-GMP-I riboswitch aptamer". From Rfam's summary of the family: GEMM was predicted in a large-scale screen for bacterial structured RNA regulatory elements. The record is from Rfam by way of RNAcentral. RNAcentral also lists the same sequence under 1 other name. Lineage: Bacteria; Bacillati; Bacillota; Bacilli; Caryophanales; Bacillaceae.